Molecule: ribosomal RNA, 305 nt
Filed under: uncultured bacterium
Lineage: Bacteria
Description: bacterial SSU rRNA
Rfam family: Bacterial small subunit ribosomal RNA
Source: RNAcentral
CCUACGGGGGGCAGCAGUGGGGAAUAUUGCACAAUGGGGGAAACCCUGAUGCAGCGACGCCGCGUGAGUGAAGAAGUAUUUCGGUAUGUAAAGCUCUAUCAGCAGGAACGAGACAAGACGGUACCUGACUAAGAAGCCCCGGCUAACUACGUGCCAGCAGCCGCGGUAAUACGUAGGGGGCAAGCGUUAUCCGGAAUCACUGGGUGUAAAGGGAGCGUAGACGGCUGAGCAAGCCUGAAGUGAAAGGCGGGGGCCCAACCCCUGGACUGCUUUGGGAACUGUACGGCUGGAGUGCAGGAGAGGUA